This is a small nucleolar RNA of Leucoraja erinaceus (little skate), 73 nucleotides long. RefSeq annotates it as small nucleolar RNA SNORD19. The record is from RefSeq and is a predicted model, not a curated record. The transcript has a single exon. Lineage: Eukaryota; Metazoa; Chordata; Chondrichthyes; Rajiformes; Rajidae.
GAAAAAUGAGGACAACUUACUUAGCCUGAUUUUCUAUGACUGUUAAAGAUCCAACUCUGAUUUCACUCGGUGU